RNAcentral lists this small nuclear RNA (191 nucleotides) under Trichoderma virens Gv29-8. RNAcentral's name for it is "a. fumigatus sRNA Afu_182". It matches the Rfam family "A. fumigatus sRNA Afu_182". Lineage: Eukaryota; Fungi; Ascomycota; Sordariomycetes; Hypocreales; Hypocreaceae. The record is from Rfam by way of RNAcentral.
CCAUGAACAACGCAAAUAACAACGUUCGGGUUCUUCCAUCACUUUAAAAGUACCUAGUACGAGGUGCGCUUUCGAGCGUCUGCUCACGACUGCUGGGGACCUGAGGAACGAAAACGGAGAAGAAAGCGAGCAAUCUUGGGUGCGGUGCUCCCCUACCAAAAUGGAGAGGACCGCAAUGAUUGAGCGUACAU